GAAACUCAAAGGAAUUGACGGGGGCCCGCACAAGCGGUGGAGCAUGUGGUUCAAUUCGACGCAACGCGAAGAACCUUACCUGGGCUUGACAUCCGCUGACCGUCCUGGAAACAGGAUCUUCCCCGCAAGGGGACGGCGAGACAGGUGCUGCAUGGCUGUCGUCAGCUCGUGUCGUGAGAUGUUGGGUUAAGUCCCGCAACGAGCGCAACCCUCAUCCUUAGUUGCCAUCAUUGAGUUGGGCACUCUAAAGGAAACUGCCCCGGUUAACGGGGAGGAAGGUGGGGAUGACGUCAAGUCCUCAUGGCCCUUAUCGCCCAGGGCUACACACGUGCUACAAUGGGCGGUACAAAGGGUAGCGAUGCCGCGAGGUGAAGCCAAUCCCAAAAAGCCGUCCACAGUUCGGAUUGGAGUCUGCAACUCGACUCCAUGAAGCCGGAAUCGCUAGUAAUCGUGGAUCAGCAUGCCACGGUGAAUACGUUCCCGGGCCUU
Molecule: ribosomal RNA, 489 nt
Filed under: uncultured delta proteobacterium
Lineage: Bacteria; Deltaproteobacteria
Description: bacterial SSU rRNA
Rfam family: Bacterial small subunit ribosomal RNA
Source: RNAcentral